This 708-nucleotide ribosomal RNA is filed under the name Triticum aestivum (bread wheat). RNAcentral describes it as "partial small subunit ribosomal RNA". The record is from RNAcentral. Lineage: Eukaryota; Viridiplantae; Streptophyta; Magnoliopsida; Poales; Poaceae.
AUGUCAAAGUUUUGGUGGGAUGAAUCUCUAGACAAGAGAAGAAUGCAUUGGCAAUCGUGGGAAAAGAUGGCCGUCUCAAAAUCCAAGGGAGGUCUGGGAUUUCGGGAUUUGCAGCUUUUCAAUGAUGCAAUGCUCGCCAAGCAGGCGUGGUGGCUGCUGGAUAAGCCAGACAGUCUAUGCGCGCGUGUCCUAAAGGGACGGUAUUACCCAGAAGGAGAUUUUUUGCAAGCAGGAUGCCCUGCUAGUGCCUCUACUACGUGGAAAGCCAUAAUCAUCAGGAGAGAAGUGCUGAAGAAGGGUUUAAUCCGUAGAGUUGGUGAUGGCAUGACUACGGAGGUAUGACAUGAUAACUGGAUACAAGGAAGCAAAACUUUCAAACCAGUAUGCAAUAUUGGAAGUGAACCCAUCCACCUCGUGUCUGAUUUGAUGACGGAUGAUAGUGAGUGGGAUGAGGAAGUUAUACACAGAACUUUUAUCGGCCCGGAUGCGCUGGCGAUUCUCAAUAUGCCAAGACCGCGGGUUGCUAUACCUGAUUCUUGGGCAUGGGGCCAUGAGAGAUCUGUGAUUUUCACGGUUCGAUCGGCGUACAGAAUGCUUAUGGAGGAUCGUGAGAACGACCUGAACCGGGUUGGCAGUUCGUCCCAAGGGGAGGAGAUUUGGAAAGCACUAUGGUGUGUCAAGGUACAACCAAAGAUACGGAUCUUUUGA